UAGGGAAUAUUGGUCAAUGGGCGGAAGCCUGAACCAGCCAUGCCGCGUGCAGGAAGACGGCCUUCUGGGUUGUAAACUGCUUUUACCAGGGAACAAAUAGGCCAUGCGUGGCAAGUUGAGUGUACCUGGGGAAUAAGCACCGGCUAACUCCGUGCCAGCAGCCGCGGUAAUACGGAGGAUGCAAGCGUUAUUCGGAAUUAUUGGGCGUAAAGCGUCCGCAGGUGGUGCCUCAAGUCUGCUGUCAAAGACCGAAGCUCAACUUCGGGCAGGCAGUGGAAACUGAAGCACUAGAGUACGGUAGGGGUAGAGGGAAUUUCCAGUGUAGCGGUGAAAUGCGUAGAGAUUGGAAAGAACACCAGUGGCGAAGGCGCUCUACUGGACCGUAACUGACACUCAGGGACGAAAGCUAGGGGAGCGAAAGGGAUUAGAUACCCCCGUAGUCC
Molecule: ribosomal RNA, 443 nt
Filed under: uncultured prokaryote
Description: bacterial SSU rRNA
Rfam family: Bacterial small subunit ribosomal RNA
Source: RNAcentral